UACGAAGGGGGCUGGCGUUGUUCGGAAUUACUGGGCGUAAAGCGCGCGCAGGCGGUUCUUCAAGUCAGAGGUGAAAGCCCAGAGCUCAACUCUGGAAUGGCCUUUGAGACUAGAGAACUAGGGUACGGGAGAGGUGAGUGGAAUUCCGAGUGUAGAGGUGAAAUUCGUAGAUAUUCGGAAGAACACCAGUGGCGAAGGCGGCUCACUGGCCCGUUACCGACGCUCAGGCGCGACAGCGUGGGGAGCAAACAGG
Molecule: ribosomal RNA, 253 nt
Filed under: uncultured bacterium
Lineage: Bacteria
Description: partial 16S ribosomal RNA
Rfam family: Bacterial small subunit ribosomal RNA
Source: RNAcentral